UAAUACGUAGGUGGCAAGCGUUACUCGGAAUCACUAGGCGUAAAGCGCAGGUAGGCGGCUUGGUAAGUUUCUUGUGAAAGCUCCCGGCUUAACUGGGAGAGGUCAAGGAAUACUGCCAGGCUAGAGUGUGGUAGAGGAAGCUAGAAUUCCCGGUGUAGCGGUGAAAUGCGUAGAUAUCGGGAGGAAUACCUAUGGCGAAAGCAGGCUUCUGGGCCAUCACUGACGCUGAGCUGCGAAAGCUAGGGGAGCAAACAGGAUUAGAUACCCUGGUAGUCCUAGCCCUAAACGAUGCUCAUUAGGUGUGAGAGGUAUCGACCCCUUUCGCGCCGUAGCUAACGCAUUAAAUGAGCCGCCUGGGGAGUACGGCCGCAAGGUUG
RNAcentral lists this ribosomal RNA (377 nucleotides) under uncultured bacterium. Its description in RNAcentral is "bacterial SSU rRNA". It matches the Rfam family "Bacterial small subunit ribosomal RNA", at positions 521 to 896 of the family's 1533-position model. The record is from RNAcentral.